RNAcentral lists this transfer RNA (78 nucleotides) under Enterococcus faecium. RNAcentral describes it as "tRNA-Met". It matches the Rfam family "tRNA". Rfam says of the family: Transfer RNA (tRNA) molecules are approximately 80 nucleotides in length. Their secondary structure includes four short double-helical elements and three loops (D, anti-codon, and T loops). Lineage: Bacteria; Bacillati; Bacillota; Bacilli; Lactobacillales; Enterococcaceae. The record is from RNAcentral.
GUACCCUUAGCUCAGUUGGUUAGAGCAGACGGCUCAUAACCGUCCGGUCGUAGGUUCGAGUCCUUACAGGGUCCUCCA